GACGAACGCUGGCAGCGUGCUUAACACAUGCAAGUCGAACGGUAAGGCCCUUCGGGGUACACGAGUGGCGAACGGGUGAGUAACACGUGGGUGAUCUGCCCUGCACUUCGGGGUAAGCCUGGGAAACUGGGUCUAAUACCGGAUAGGACCCUGGGAUGCAUGUCCUGGGGUGGAAAGCUUUUGCGGUGUGGGAUGGGCCCGCGGCCUAUCAGCUUGUUGGUGGGGUGAUGGCCUACCAAGGCGACGACGGGUAGCCGGCCUGAGAGGGUGACCGGCCGCACUGGGACUGAGAUACGGCCCAGACUCCUACGGGAGGCAGCAGUGGGGAAUAUUGCACAAUGGGCGCAAGCCUGAUGCAGCGACGCCGCGUGAGGGAUGACGGCCUUCGGGUUGUAAACCUCUUUCAGCACCGACGAAGCGCAAGUGACGGUAGGUGCAGAAGAAGGACCGGCCAACUACGUGCCAGCCGCCGCAGUAA
Molecule: ribosomal RNA, 478 nt
Filed under: uncultured bacterium
Lineage: Bacteria
Description: partial 16S ribosomal RNA
Rfam family: Bacterial small subunit ribosomal RNA
Source: RNAcentral